GGAAGAGUGGGCAACGCACAUCAUGACAGUCGAGCGGACUUGAUGAGAAGCUUGCUUCUCUGAUGGUUAGCGGCGGACGGGUGAGUAACACGUAGGCAACCUGCCCUCAAGCUUGGGACAACUACCGGAAACGGUAGCUAAUACCGAAUACUUGCUUUCUUCGCCUGAAGGAAGCUGGAAAGACGGAGCAAUCUGUCACUUGAGGAUGGGCCUGCGGCGCAUUAGCUAGUUGGUGAGGUAACGGCUCACCAAGGCGACGAUGCGUAGCCGACCUGAGAGGGUGAUCGGCCACACUGGGACUGAGACACGGCCCAGACUCCUACGGGAGGCAGCAGUAGGGAAUCUUCCGCAAUGGGCGAAAGCCUGACGGAGCAAUGCCGCGUGAGUGAUGAAGGUUUUCGGAUCGUAAAGCUCUGUUGCCAGGGAAGAACGUCCUUGAGAGUAACUGCUCAAGGAGUGACGGAACCGGAGAAGAAAGCCCCGGCUAACUACGUGCCAGCAGCCGCGGUAAUACUUAGGGGGCAACCGUUUGUCCAAAAUUAUUUGCGCCGUUGGGCGCGGGCGGGGCCGGCCAUUUUAGUUUUGGGUGUUUAAUUUUUGGGGCCUCCUCCCC
This 613-nucleotide ribosomal RNA is filed under the name Paenibacillus sp. Its description in RNAcentral is "bacterial SSU rRNA". The stretch from base 1 to 534 matches the Rfam family "Bacterial small subunit ribosomal RNA", at positions 30 to 546 of the family's 1533-position model. The record is from RNAcentral. Lineage: Bacteria; Bacillati; Bacillota; Bacilli; Caryophanales; Paenibacillaceae.